GGUUCGAUUUCUGGCUCAGAUUGAACGCUGGCGUGAUGCUUUUACAUGCAAGUCGAACGGCAGCACGGACUUCGGUCUGGUGGCGAGUGGCGAACGGGUGAGGGCUGUAUCGGAACGUGCCUAGUAGCGGGGGAUAACUACGCGAAAGCGUAGCCAAUACCGCAUACGCCCUUCGGGGAAGCGGGGACCUUCGGGCCUCGCACUAUUAGAGCGGCUGAUAUCGGAUUAGCUAGUUGGUGGGGUAACGGCUCACCAAGGGCGACGAUCCGUAGCUGGUUUGAGAGGACGACCAGCCACACUGGGACUGAGACACGGCCCAGACUCCUACGGGAGGUGCAGUGGGGGAAUUUUGGACAAUGGGGGAAACCCUGAUCCAGCCAUCUCGCGUGUGUGCGAUGAAGGCCUUCGGGUUGUAAAGCACUUUUUGCAGGAAAGAAACGGCACGGGAUAAUACCCCGUGCAACUGACGGUACCUGCAGAAUAAGCACCGGCUAACUACGUGCCAGCAGCCGCGGUAAUACGUAGGGUGCAAGCGUUAAUCGGAAUUACUGGGCGCAAGCGUGGCGCAGGCGGUUCGGAAAGAAAGAUGUGAAAUCCCAGAGCUUAACUUUGGAACUGCAUUUUUAAUCAUAAUGAGCUAGCGAGUGUGUCAGAGGGAGGUGGAAUUCUCGCGUGUAGCAGUGAAGGAAUGCGUAGAUAUGCGGAGGAACACCUGAUGGCGAAGGCAGCCUCCUGGGAUAACACUGACGCUCAUGCACGAAAGCGUGGGGAGCAAACAGGAUUAGAUACCCUGGUAGUCCACGCCCUAAACGAUGUCAACUAGCUUGUUGGGGCCUUCGGGCCUUGGUAGCGCAGCUAACGCGUGAAGUUGACCGCCUGGGGAGUACGGUCGCAAGAUUAAAACUCAAAGAAUUGACGGGACUCCGCACAAGCGGUGGAUGAUGUGGAUUAAUUCGAUGCAACGCGAAAACCUUACCUACCCUUGACAUGUCUGAAUCCCGAAGAGAUUUGGGAGUGCUCGCAAGAGAACCGGAACACAGGAAGCGUAUGGCUGUCGCCGGCUCGUGUCGUGAGAUGUUGGUUAAGUCCUGGCAACGAGCGCAACCCUUGUCAUUAGUUGCUACGAAAGGGCACUCUAAUGAGACUGCCGGUGACAAACCGGAGAAGGUGGGGAUGACGUCAAGUCCUCAUGGCCCUUAUGGGUAGGGCUUCACACGUCAUACAAUGGUCGGGACAGAGGGUCGCCAACCCGCGAGGGGGAGCCAAUCCCAGAAACCCGAUCGAACCGGAUCGCAGUCUGCAACUCGACUGCGUGAAGUCGGAAUCGCUAGUAAUCGCGGAUCAGCAUGUCACAGGUGAAUACGUUCGGUCUUGUACACACCGCCCGUCACACCAUGGGAGUGGGUUUUACCAGAAGCAGUUAGCUCAACCGUAAGGAGGGCGAUUACCACGGUAGGAUUCAUGACUGGGGUGAAGUCGUAACAAGGUAGCUCUG
RNAcentral lists this ribosomal RNA (1495 nucleotides) under uncultured Bordetella sp. RNAcentral's name for it is "partial 16S-23S ribosomal RNA intergenic spacer". It matches the Rfam family "Bacterial small subunit ribosomal RNA". The record is from RNAcentral. Lineage: Bacteria; Pseudomonadati; Pseudomonadota; Betaproteobacteria; Burkholderiales; Alcaligenaceae.